RNAcentral lists this ribosomal RNA (253 nucleotides) under uncultured bacterium. RNAcentral's name for it is "partial 16S ribosomal RNA". It matches the Rfam family "Bacterial small subunit ribosomal RNA", at positions 524 to 776 of the family's 1533-position model. The record is from RNAcentral.
GACAGAGGAGCCAAGCGUUGUCCGGACUGACUGGGCGUAAAGCGCCCGCAGGCGGCCGUGCACGUGGGGUGUGAAAGCUCGCGGCUUAACUGCGAGAGGCCAUCCCAUACGGCGCGGCUCGAGCCGUCCAGAGGCGAGCGGAAUUCCUGGUGUAGCGGUGGAAUGCGUAGAUAUCAGGAAGAACACCGGUGGCGAAGGCGGCUCGCUGGGCCAGAUCCGACACUCAUCCGCGAAAGCGUGGGGAGCAAACAGG